AUUGAACGCUGGCGGCAGGCUUAACACAUGCAAGACGAGCGGUAACAGAGAGAAGCUUGCUUCUCUGCUGACGAGCGGCGGACGGGUGAGUAAUGCCUAGGAAUCUGCCUAGUAGUGGGGGAUAACUUGCCGAAAGGUAAGCUAAUGCCGCAUACGUCCUACGGGAGAAAGGAGGGGACCUUCGGGCCUUUCGCUAUUAGAUGAGCCUAGGUCGGAUUAGUUAGUUGGUGAGGUAAUGGCUCACCAAGACCGCGAUCCGUAACUGGUCUGAGAGGAUGAUCAGUCACACUGGAACUGAGACACGGUCCAGACUCCUACGGGAGGCAGCAGUGGGGAAUAUUGGACAAUGGGGGGAACCCUGAUCCAGCCAUGCCGCGUGUGUGAAGAAGGUCUUAGGAUUGUAAAGCACUUUAAGUUGGGAGGAAGAGCAGUUAACUAAUAUUUGACUGUUUUGACGUUACCGACAGAAUAAGCACCGGCUAACUUCAUGCCAGCCGCCGCAGUAA
RNAcentral lists this ribosomal RNA (506 nucleotides) under uncultured bacterium. RNAcentral's name for it is "partial 16S ribosomal RNA". It matches the Rfam family "Bacterial small subunit ribosomal RNA", at positions 30 to 523 of the family's 1533-position model. The record is from RNAcentral.